GUUGAACGCUGGCGGCGUGCCUAAUACAUGCAAGUCGAGCGAACAGAUGAGGCGCUUGCUCCUCUGACGUUAGCGGCGGACGGGUGAGUAACACGUGGAUAACCUACCUAUAAGACUGGGAUAACUUCGGGAAACCGGAGCUAAUAUCGGAUAAUAUAUUGAAACGCAUGGUUCAAUAGUGAAAGACGGUUUUGCUGUCACUUAUAGAUGGAUCCGCGCCGCAUUAGCUAGUUGGUAAGGUAAAGGCUUACCAAGGCGACGAUGAGUAGCUGAGCGGAGAGGAGGAUGAGUCAGAAUGGAAAUGAGAGACGGUAGAGAGUCCUACGGGAGGAAGCAGUGGGGAAGAUUGGACAAUGGGCGAAAGAGUGAUAAAGCAAUGCAGGGGGUGUGAAGAAGGUUUUAGGAUUGUAAAGAACUUUAAGUUGGGAGGAAGGGAAGUAAGUUAAUACCUUGCUGUUUUGACGUUAAAAACAGAAUAAGCACCGGCUAACUUAGUG
RNAcentral lists this ribosomal RNA (497 nucleotides) under uncultured bacterium. RNAcentral's name for it is "partial 16S ribosomal RNA". It matches the Rfam family "Bacterial small subunit ribosomal RNA", at positions 28 to 507 of the family's 1533-position model. The record is from RNAcentral.